UACGUAGGGGGCAAGCGUUGUCCGGAAUUAUUGGGCGUAAAGAGCUCGUAGGCGGUCUGUCGCGUCGGUCGUGAAAACUUGGGGCUUAACCCUGAGCUUGCGGUCGAUACGGGCAUGACUGGAGUUCGGCAGGGGAGACUGGAAUUCCUGGUGUAGCGGUGAAAUGCGCAGAUAUCAGGAGGAACACCGGUGGCGAAGGCGGGUCUCUGGGCCGAUACUGACGCUGAGGAGCGAAAGCGUGGGGAGCAAACAGG
RNAcentral lists this ribosomal RNA (254 nucleotides) under uncultured bacterium. RNAcentral's name for it is "partial 16S ribosomal RNA". It matches the Rfam family "Bacterial small subunit ribosomal RNA", at positions 524 to 776 of the family's 1533-position model. The record is from RNAcentral.